ACUUUAUCUUGGGAAACUGCGAAGGGUUCAUUAAAUCAGUUAUGAUCUACGUGACAAACUCUUUACUACUGGGAUCCCCGGGGAUUUUUCUAGAUCUAAUACGUGCAAAAAACCCCUGACUUACAAAGGUGUGCAUUUAUUAUAUAAAACCAACGCGUGGUAAAACCUGGUUCUUGGUGAAUCAUAAAUAAUUAUCGGGAGCGCAUGGCCUUGUGCCGGCAACGGUCCAUUCGAUUUUCUGCCCUAUCAUGUUUGAGAUUGUAGGAUAGACGCUUACAAUGCCUAUACGGGGUAA
RNAcentral lists this ribosomal RNA (295 nucleotides) under uncultured Amylomyces. Its description in RNAcentral is "partial 18S ribosomal RNA". It matches the Rfam family "Eukaryotic small subunit ribosomal RNA", at positions 71 to 362 of the family's 1831-position model. Lineage: Eukaryota; Fungi; Mucoromycota; Mucoromycetes; Mucorales; Mucoraceae. The record is from RNAcentral.